GUUAGGAAUAUUGGACAAUGGACGCAAGUCUGAUCCAGCCAUGCCGCGUGAGUGAUGAAGGCCUUCGGGUUGUAAAGCUCUUUAGCCGAUGAUUAUAAUGACUGUAGUCGGAAAAUAAGCCCCGGCUAACUUCGUGCCAGCAGCCGCGGUAAUACGAAGGGGGCGAGCGUUAUUCGGACUCACUGGGCGUAAAGCGUGCGUAGGCGGUUUUGUAAGCUGGGAGUGAAAGCCCAGGGCUCAACCCUGGAAUUACUCUCAAAACUACAAGACUUGAAUUCGGGAGAGGAUAGCGGAAUUGUCAGUGUAGCAGUGAAAUGCGUAGAUAUUGACAGGAAAACCAGUGGCGUAAGCGGCUAUCUGGACCGACAUUGACGCUGAGGCACGAAAGCGUGGGGAUCAAACAGGAUUAGAAACCCCAGUAGUCC
RNAcentral lists this ribosomal RNA (425 nucleotides) under uncultured bacterium. Its description in RNAcentral is "bacterial SSU rRNA". It matches the Rfam family "Bacterial small subunit ribosomal RNA", at positions 354 to 796 of the family's 1533-position model. The record is from RNAcentral.